UGCCGGCGACCGGCGGACGGGUGCGUAACGCGUAUGUAACCUACCUUUGACAGGGGGAUAACAUCGAGAAAUUGGUACUAAUACCCCAUAACAUCACCGGAGGCGUCUUCGGUGGUUGAAAACUCAGGUGGUCAGAGAUGGACAUGCGUUGUAUUAGCUAGUUGGUGAGGUAACGGCUCACCAAGGCGACGAUACAUAGGGGGACUGAGAGGUCAACCCCCCACAUUGGUACUGAGACACGGACCAAACUCCUACGGAAGGCAGCAG
RNAcentral lists this ribosomal RNA (267 nucleotides) under uncultured bacterium. Its description in RNAcentral is "partial 16S ribosomal RNA". It matches the Rfam family "Bacterial small subunit ribosomal RNA", at positions 86 to 354 of the family's 1533-position model. The record is from RNAcentral.